RNAcentral lists this ribosomal RNA (254 nucleotides) under uncultured bacterium. Its description in RNAcentral is "partial 16S rRNA". It matches the Rfam family "Bacterial small subunit ribosomal RNA", at positions 505 to 758 of the family's 1533-position model. The record is from RNAcentral.
GUGUCAGCAGCCGCGGUAAAACGUAGGAGGCGAGCGUUAUCCGGAUUUACUGGGCGUAAAGCGCGUGCAGGCGGAUCGGAAAGUUGGAUGUGAAAGCUCCCGGCUUAACCGGGAGAGGUCGUUCAAAACUACCGGUCUUGAGUGCAGUAGAGGGAAGUGGAAUUCCAGGUGUAGUGGUGAAAUGCGUAGAGAUCCGGAGGAACACCAGUGGCGAAAGCGGCUUUCUGGACUGUAACUGACGCUGAGGCGCGAAA